UUGUCGGCAUCCAGCAGACAGCGUCUGCCUUCUGCUGCGGCGGAGAGAACUAAAGUUAUUUAGAAGACACGAAGAAUGUCAGAAAAACAGCAUUCCAACUUCUCCGCAGAAGUAUACUUUGUACCAUAAGUUACAAUUUAUCAGGCAUCAUGAGCGAUAUCAUAGAGUGGGACCGUCAGGAGAGUCGAGCUUGCGAAAUUCGGCCCCAGCAGAAGGGCCGGUGGAACACCACUGUUGUCCUUCUCAGAAUAGUUUUCAUUCUUGUAGUUAUAUACUUGUGGAAGCUCUACCAGGGCGACUGAUUCGUAAAAUAGAGAAAAAGAAACUAAUUCGGACUUUGUUCGUGGCACCAACCGAAUUACGAUUUUUUAAUGCGUCAGUGUAGCAGUCAACAAAAGCAUCCUAUCUUUAAAACAAAGAGGAAGCAGGAAAUAACAGCAACAAUAAUACAAGAAAUUGGUUUGGAACUCCUCCUUCUAAAACAUCGUUCUACACAAAAAAAAAAAAAUCUGAAAAAAAUAAUUUUGGCAUUAAAGCGUUUUAUUUUUGACAUA
Thrips palmi is the source of this 554-nucleotide long non-coding RNA. RefSeq lists it as uncharacterized. The record is from RefSeq and is a predicted model, not a curated record. NCBI's taxonomy places the organism in Eukaryota, Metazoa, Arthropoda, Insecta, Thysanoptera, Thripidae. The transcript is spliced from 3 exons.